CUGGCUACCGCUCCUCAUCUGCUUCCCUUUGAUGCGCCCACUGCAUAGCUCCACUGCUCGGCCCCAUCGGCACCACAAGGUGCGUUUCGCCGGCAUGCCCAGGAGCUCAAGGCUUGUCCGCAUGUCCCAGCGGCUCAAGGCUCGUUCGCACGUCCUAGCGGCAGCCCUGAAUCGCGCAGCUGCCUGGUGCGAGCGGCGGCGGCCGGCACGGCCCGCUACGGAGGCUUCGAUCUGAACCACAGCGCCUCGGAUCUACGAGCAGCGUGCAUGGAGGAGCGAUGCCGGCUGUGAUAUCACGGGAUUUGAAAUCCAUGUCCGUUUUCGAGCGGAUCCACAAUGGUGGUACACAUGGGGGCCGCCCUCCACACAUGCCUGCAGUCCAACUCUGUCCUCUCCUCGCAAUGCAGAUAUUUGAUUUGUUUCUAUUUCAUUUAGCUGAUUGUUCAAUACACAAAUGAGAUAUCUCAUUUGUUUCCAUUACAUUUAGCUGAUUAGUUGAUGACCUUGCAAUGUCUGUUUAAUCUGCAAUUUUUUCUAAAUGUUAAUGCUGAGUGAACAUUAGUCUGCAUGUUUCGAACCACAGUUGUUCUACUAAGCAGAUGUAAGCUAUGGGCCUAACAAUGAUGAAGUGUUAGCAUAAGUUUACCAUGCUAAUGCUGACACGAAAGCCUAGGUCAGGAUAUUGGCAAACAGACAGUUACUUCAGAGGUCAUGAGUUAGGAAGCUGCAGUACAUAUCGGAGCUUGAACAAAGUGUCACCGGUCUGCAGGAGAACAUUUCUAAUGUGUAUAGCUGCUAGUUGUAGUUAGGUGGUUAGAAGCCUAGAAUGUUUGUGCAUGGAACAUGUAUUCUGGAAUCGAUAUUGUAUGAGCUAGAAUAUUAUUUAUGGCUGGAAUAUAUUUUGUUGUA
Molecule: long non-coding RNA, 909 nt
Organism: Sorghum bicolor (sorghum)
Lineage: Eukaryota; Viridiplantae; Streptophyta; Magnoliopsida; Poales; Poaceae
Exons: 2
Source: RefSeq, a predicted model, not a curated record